Molecule: ribosomal RNA, 207 nt
Filed under: uncultured bacterium
Lineage: Bacteria
Description: partial 16S ribosomal RNA
Rfam family: Bacterial small subunit ribosomal RNA
Source: RNAcentral
UGCGUAGGUGGUCUACUAAGUUGGGUGUGAAAUCCCUCGGCUCAACCGAGGAACUGCGCUCAAUACUGGUAGACUUGAGGGAGACAGAGGUGAGCGGAACUGAUGGUGGAGCGGUGAAAUGCGUUGAUAUCAUCGGGAACACCUGUGGCGAAAGCGGCUCACUGGGUCUCUUCUGACACUGAGGCACGAAAGCCAGGGGAGCGAACG